RNAcentral lists this ribosomal RNA (468 nucleotides) under uncultured bacterium. Its description in RNAcentral is "partial 16S ribosomal RNA". It matches the Rfam family "Bacterial small subunit ribosomal RNA", at positions 28 to 507 of the family's 1533-position model. The record is from RNAcentral.
GACGAACGCUGGCGGCGUGCUUAACACAUGCAAGUCGAACGGCAAGGCCCUGCUUUUGUGGGGUGCUCGAGUGGCGAACGGGUGAGUAACACGUGAGUAACCUGCCCCUGACUUUGGGAUAACUUCAGGAAACUGGGGCUAAUACCGGCUAGGAGCUCCUGCUGCAUGGUGGGGGUUGGACCGUUUCGGCGGUUGGGGAUGGACUCGCGGCUUAUCAGCUUGUUGGUGGGGCAGUGGCUUACCAAGGCUUUGACGGGUAGCCGGCCUGAGAGGGUGACCGGGCACAUUGGGACUGAGAUACGGCCCAGACUCCUACGGGAGGCAGCAGUGGGGAAUAUUGCACAAUGGGCGGAAGCCUGAUGCAGCAACGCCGCGUGCGGGAUGACGGCCUUCGGGUUGUAAACCGCUUUCGCCUGUGACGAAGGGUGAGUGACGGUAAUGGGUAAAUAAGCACCGGCUAAGUACGUG